CCUACAAACACUUCUUCUAGCACAGGCUCUGCUGUGACGUGGAACAGAGUAGGGUGGGCACUGCAAUGUUCUUCCUCCUCACUGAGAUGAGUACCACUGAGCACAUAUCCUUGCCCUGUUUACUGGAGAAGCAGAUGGAUCACAAAUAUUGAAAAAUGAAACUUACGCUCUCAGAAGAAAAAAGUUCUAACCACAAAGUCUACUCAGGAAUCAUUUCAUCAAAGUGGAACAGGGAGAAGGUCUUCAGAUUCUGGCGUAUGUUUUCUUUUUGUGUACUGGAGACUGAACCCAGGGUCUCACGCAUGUUACCACUCAGGUAAGCAUUGAGCUAUCUCCCUAGCCCUCAAAUGCAUCUUCCAUCUACAACUCUUUCUUAAUUUUCAUGCUACAGUUUAGCAUUUUUCUAGUGAACUUAUCCUUUCUUUUUUUCUCCCCCUUAAGUUGGUGUAGGUCAAACCUAGUUUCUUAGAAAGGAAAGAACUUUGCCUUCUUUUAAUUCUUCCAGAUUUUUUCCAGAUUGUAACUUCCUUUAGUUCUUUCAGAUUUUUCUUUGAGUAUAUAUAUGCAAAUAUAACAUAUAAUGUAAUAAUAUAUGAUAAAAUACAAUUGUAUUCUCUAAGCUGUUUUAUAACAUAUUAUGAGCAUUCUUCAAAGACAAUAAAUACUAUUUAAUUUUACAAUGUAACAUUGUGUACAUAUGUCAUUGUUUAUUUAACUUUUUACUUUUGAUCAUUUUGGGAGUUCAACACUUUCUCUGUUAUUGAAAAUUCUAGUCCCUUCUUAGAACAGAUAAAUUCCUGAAAUUCACAUCACCAAAGUAAAUGUAAUUUUAAAGAAUUUUAAUUUAUACUGACUGCUUUCUUCAGAAAAUUUGUGCCAAUUUACAUUCUCAUCCAUGGUGACGAUAUUCAUUUUCUUACAUAUUUAACAACAUUGUAAUUGUUUCAUAUUUUUGUCCAUCUGGUAAAUACAAUGACACCUCCUGUUUUAAUUUGCAUUUGUCAAAUAACUGCAAAACUGAAAUCUCUUUUCACCCUAAAC
RNAcentral lists this long non-coding RNA (1041 nucleotides) under Chinchilla lanigera (long-tailed chinchilla). Its description in RNAcentral is "lncRNA (ENSCLAG00000022539.1)". The record is from RNAcentral. Lineage: Eukaryota; Metazoa; Chordata; Mammalia; Rodentia; Chinchillidae.